RNAcentral lists this ribosomal RNA (460 nucleotides) under uncultured bacterium. RNAcentral's name for it is "partial 16S ribosomal RNA". It matches the Rfam family "Bacterial small subunit ribosomal RNA", at positions 338 to 795 of the family's 1533-position model. The record is from RNAcentral.
CCUACGGGAGGCAGCAGUGAGGAAUAUUGGUCAAUGGGCUUACGCCUGAACCAGCCAAGUCGCGUGAGGGAAGACUGCCCUAUGGGUUGUAAACCUCUUUUGUCAGGGAGCAACGCCGGCUACGUGUAGCCGGACUGAGAGUACCUGAAGAAAAAGCAUCGGCUAACUCCGUGACAGCAGCCGCGGUAAUACGGAGGAUGCGAGCGUUAUCCGGAUUUAUUGGGUUUAAAGGGUGCGUAGGCGGAAUGCCAAGUCAGCGGUAAAAUCGCGGGGCUCAACCUCGCUCUGCCGUUGAAACUGGCGUUCUUGAGUGGGCGAGAGGUAUGCGGAAUGCGUGGUGUAGCGGUGAAAUGCAUAGAUAUCACGCAGAACUCCGAUUGCGAAGGCAGCAUACCGGCGCCCAACUGACGCUGAAGCACGAAAGCGUGGGUAUCGAACAGGAUUAGAUACCCCUGUAGUC